Molecule: ribosomal RNA, 549 nt
Filed under: Epicoccum nigrum
Lineage: Eukaryota; Fungi; Ascomycota; Dothideomycetes; Pleosporales; Didymellaceae
Description: eukaryotic LSU rRNA
Rfam family: 5.8S ribosomal RNA (bases 177-330)
Source: RNAcentral
CUUCCGUAGGGUGAACCUGCGGAAGGAUCAUUACCUAGAGUUUGUGGACUUCGGUCUGCUACCUCUUACCCAUGUCUUUUGAGUACCUUCGUUUCCUCGGCGGGUCCGCCCGCCGGUUGGACAACAUUCAAACCCUUUGCAGUUGCAAUCAGCGUCUGAAAAAACUUAAUAGUUACAACUUUCAACAACGGAUCUCUUGGUUCUGGCAUCGAUGAAGAACGCAGCGAAAUGCGAUAAGUAGUGUGAAUUGCAGAAUUCAGUGAAUCAUCGAAUCUUUGAACGCACAUUGCGCCCCUUGGUAUUCCAUGGGGCAUGCCUGUUCGAGCGUCAUUUGUACCUUCAAGCUCUGCUUGGUGUUGGGUGUUUUGUCUCGCCUCCGCGCGCAGACUCGCCUUAAAACAAUUGGCAGCCGGCGUAUUGAUUUCGGAGCGCAGUACAUCUCGCGCUUUGCACUCAUAACGACGACGUCCAAAAGUACAUUUUUACACUCUUGACCUCGGAUCAGGUAGGGAUACCCGCUGAACUUAAGCAUAUCAAUAAGCGGAGGAA